This 253-nucleotide ribosomal RNA is filed under the name uncultured bacterium. RNAcentral's name for it is "partial 16S ribosomal RNA". It matches the Rfam family "Bacterial small subunit ribosomal RNA", at positions 524 to 776 of the family's 1533-position model. The record is from RNAcentral.
UACGAAGGGGGCUAGCGUUGCUCGGAUUCAUUGGGCGUAAAGGGUGCGUAGGCGGCGCGGUAAGUCGGGUGUGAAAUCUCGGAGCUUAACUCCGAAACUGCAUUCGAUACUGCGGUGCUUGAGGACUGGAGAGGAGACUGGAAUUCAUGGUGUAGCAGUGAAAUGCGUAGAGAUCAUGAGGAAGACCAGUGGCGAAGGCGGGUCUCUGGACAGUUCCUGACACUGAGGCACGAAGGCCAGGGGAGCAAACGGG